This 363-nucleotide unclassified non-coding RNA is filed under the name soil metagenome. RNAcentral describes it as "partial contains 5.8S ribosomal RNA, internal transcribed spacer 2, and large subunit ribosomal RNA". The stretch from base 1 to 120 matches the Rfam family "5.8S ribosomal RNA", at positions 35 to 154 of the family's 154-position model. The record is from RNAcentral.
GAUGAAGAACGUAGCGAAAUGCGAUAGGUAAUGUGAAUUGCAGAAUUCAGUGAAUCAUCGAAUCUUUGAACGCACAUUGCGCCCUCCGGCAUUCCGGGGGGCAUGCCUGUCCGAGCGUCACGAAAACCCCAUCACACUCGUUGUGGUCAUGGCUGCAGUGAGUCGUCUCCAGCGGAGAGGGUCACGCCGCUGAAAGGAAUGGUGCGGAUGAGUUCCGAUGGCCGAACGUAGUACUUGACAACCGUCGGCCGAUGGGACCCUCCAUCUCGCCCUGACGACGUACCCCCGUCGUACCCUCGAUCAGGUGGACCUCGGAUCAGGUAGGGAUACCCGCUGAACUUAAGCAUAUCAAUAAGCGGAGGA